This 335-nucleotide unclassified non-coding RNA is filed under the name soil metagenome. RNAcentral describes it as "partial contains 5.8S ribosomal RNA, internal transcribed spacer 2, and large subunit ribosomal RNA". The stretch from base 1 to 120 matches the Rfam family "5.8S ribosomal RNA", at positions 35 to 154 of the family's 154-position model. The record is from RNAcentral.
GUUGAAGAACGUAGCGAAAUGCGAUAAGUAAUGUGAAUUGCAGAAUUCAGUGAAUCAUCGAAUCUUUGAACGCACAUUGCGCCCGCCAGUAUUCUGGCGGGCAUGCCUGUUCGAGCGUCAUUUCAACCAUCACGCCCCCGGCUUGUGUUGGGGACCUGCGGCUGCCGCAGGCCCUGAAAACCAGUGGCGGGCUCGCUAGUCACUCCGAGCGUAGUAAUACAUCUCGCUCAGGGCGUGCUGCGGGUUCCGGCCGUUAAAAGCCUUAUUUUACCCAAGGUUGACCUCGGAUCAGGUAGGAAGACCCGCUGAACUUAAGCAUAUCAAUAAGCGGAGGA